AUGCCUGGGCGUCUCAAUGGAAGCAGAACCAUCCACGGGGGACGGGGGGAAGUCGUCCGGGUGGGGCUCCUCUUCUCGCGGCUUCGAGGGAGGAGGGAUCCGUCGCCGGUGGUGCGGGCGGUUUUCUGCGGCGAGGCCGACGUCGGCGUGUGGGAUGUGGCGGCGCGGGGUGGUGGAGCAGAGGCGAGAGCGCUGGAGACGAGGAGGUUGCGUGCGAGGAGGGAGAAAGGGGAACGCGUGCUAGCGCCAGGGAGGGUGUAUCUGGGGGAGAGAGCGCUACCCAAUCCAAUAACAGUAAAAACGAUGAGGUGGAACGCGCGAGGAGGUGCCCUUGAUGCACACCUUAUUGUUUUGGAUGUCCUGGAAUGUGAAAGUGUUAGGGGACGAGGAGAAAAACAUAACCAUUUUCAUUUUUCAAACCAAUGA
RNAcentral lists this ribosomal RNA (426 nucleotides) under Triticum aestivum (bread wheat). RNAcentral describes it as "partial small subunit ribosomal RNA". Lineage: Eukaryota; Viridiplantae; Streptophyta; Magnoliopsida; Poales; Poaceae. The record is from RNAcentral.